UCCUACGGGAGGCAGCAGUGAGGAAUAUUGGUCAAUGGAGGCAACUCUGAACCAGCCAUGCCGCGUGAAGGAUGACGGCCCUAUGGGUUGUAAACUUCUUUUAUAGAGGAAGAAACUUGAUCUACGUGUAGCUAACUGACGGUAUCUACGAAUAAGGAUCGGCUAACUCCGUGCCAGCAGCCGCGGUAAUACGGAGGAUCCAAGCGUUAUCCGGAUUCAUUGGGUUUAAAGGGUCCGUAGGCGGGUUUUUAAGUCAGUGGUGAAAGCCGACAGCUCAACUGUCGAACUGCCAUUGAUACUGGAAACCUUGAGUACAAAUGAAGUAGGCGGAAUGAGUCAUGUAGCGGUGAAAUGCAUAGAUAUGACUCAGAACACCGAUUGCGAAGGCAGCUUACUAACAUGUAACUGACGCUGAGGGACGAAAGCGUGGGGAGCGAACAGGAUUAGAUACCCUGGUAGUCCACGCCGUAAACGAUCAUCACUCGCUGUUGGCGAUAUACUGUCAGCGGCCAAGCGAAAGUA
RNAcentral lists this ribosomal RNA (522 nucleotides) under uncultured bacterium. Its description in RNAcentral is "bacterial SSU rRNA". It matches the Rfam family "Bacterial small subunit ribosomal RNA", at positions 337 to 859 of the family's 1533-position model. The record is from RNAcentral.